GCCGGGUGCAGUGGCGUGCGCCUGUAAUCCAAGUCACUGGGAGGCUGAGGCUGGCGGAUCACUUGAGCUCAGGAGUUCUGAGCUGCGGCGGACUAUGCCGAUCGGGUGUCCGCACUAAGUUCGGCAUCGAUAUGGUGCUCCUGGGGGAGCUCGGGACCACCAGGUCGCCUAACGAGGGGUGAACCGGCCCAGGUCGGAAACGGAGCAGGUCAAAGCCCCCGUGCCGAUCAGUAGUAGGGAUCGCGCCUGUGAAUAGACGCUGUAGUGCAGCCUGAGUAAUACAGUGGGACUCAGUGUUUU
Molecule: unclassified non-coding RNA, 300 nt
Rfam family: Metazoan signal recognition particle RNA
About the family: The signal recognition particle (SRP) is a universally conserved ribonucleoprotein.
Source: Ensembl